GACGAACGCUGGCGGCGUGCCUAAUACAUGCAAGUAGAACGCACAGUUUAUACCGUAGCUUGCUACACCAUAGACUGUGAGUUGCGAACGGGUGAGUAACGCGUAGGUAACCUGCCUGGUAGCGGGGGAUAACUAUUGGAAACGAUAGCUAAUACCGCAUAAUAUUAAUUAUUGCAUGAUAAUUAAUUGAAAGGUGCAAUUGCACCACUACCAGAUGGACCUGCGUUGUAUUAGCUAGUAGGUGAGGUAACGGCUCACCUAGGCGACGAUACAUAGCCGACCUGAGAGGGUGAUCGGCCACACUGGGACGUAGACACGGCCCAGACUCCUACGGGAGGCAGCAGUAGGGAAUCUUCGGCAAUGGACGAAAGUCUGACCGAGCAACGCCGCGUGAGUGAAGAAGGUUUUCGGAUCGUAAAGCUCUGUUGUAAGAGAAGAACGGGUGUGAGAGUGGAAAGUUCACACUGUGACGGUAUCUUACCAGAAAGGGACGGCUAACUACGUG
RNAcentral lists this ribosomal RNA (505 nucleotides) under uncultured bacterium. RNAcentral describes it as "partial 16S ribosomal RNA". It matches the Rfam family "Bacterial small subunit ribosomal RNA", at positions 28 to 507 of the family's 1533-position model. The record is from RNAcentral.